This 70-nucleotide transfer RNA is filed under the name Neojurtina typica. RNAcentral describes it as "tRNA-Ala". It matches the Rfam family "tRNA". Rfam says of the family: Transfer RNA (tRNA) molecules are approximately 80 nucleotides in length. Their secondary structure includes four short double-helical elements and three loops (D, anti-codon, and T loops). Further hydrogen bonds mediate the characteristic L-shaped molecular structure. tRNAs have two regions of fundamental functional importance: the anti-codon, which is responsible for specific mRNA codon recognition, and the 3' end, to which the tRNAs corresponding amino acid is attached (by aminoacyl-tRNA synthetases). tRNAs cope with the degeneracy of the genetic code in two manners: having more than one tRNA (with a specific anti-codon) for a particular amino acid; and 'wobble' base-pairing, i.e. permitting non-standard base-pairing at the 3rd anti-codon position. The record is from RNAcentral. Lineage: Eukaryota; Metazoa; Arthropoda; Insecta; Hemiptera; Pentatomidae.
GGGGUCAUAGUUAAAUAUUUUAAAACAUUUAAUUUGCAAUUAAAAGAUACUAAAUUUAUAGUUGUCCUCA